GUCGGGUUGUAACUGUAGGAGUCGGUCCCUGUCCUGGUCGGGUUGUAACUGUAGGAGUCGGUCCCUGUCCUGGUCAGGCCGGGUUGUAACUGUAGGAGUCGGUCCCUGUCCUGGUCAGGCCGGGUUGUAACUGUAGGAGUCGGUCCCUGUCCUGGUCAGGCCGGGUUGUAACUGUAGGAGUCGGUCCCUGUCCUGGUCAGGCCGGGUUGUAACUGUAGGAGUCGGUCCCUGUCCUGGUCAGGCCGGGUUGUAACUGUAGGAGUCGGUCCCUGUCCUGGUCAGGCCGGGUUGUAACUGUAGGAGUCGGUCCCUGUCCUGGUCAGGCCGGGUUGUAACUGUAGGAGUCGGUCCCUGUCCUGGUCAGGCUGGGAGGGGUGUCAGUGCUGUUACUCUGAAGGUAUUGCACUUGUCCCGGCCUGUUUAGGAUUGAGGAGAUGGUACUCUUUAAACCUGCUAAACUCUUUAAACCGGCUAAACAAUCAUUGCUUGAUGCGUGUUAGAAAUGAAUACUUGCAACAUUUUAUUUACCAAAAAUUAGACUUGUAUAUUUCUGUCACAUGAUUCUGUUUUCUAAAUUUGUUUUUAAUGAAUGAAUGUGGCGAGGUAUUUUCUAAAUUGUAGACUCAUUUCCAGAGAUUUAAAUGUGUCCCGUCCAUAUGGUGAUUGUUUCGUGCUGUGGUUUUGUCUCAAAUAAAGGUUCCAUAUGAAUUA
Long non-coding RNA from Salvelinus fontinalis (brook trout), 711 nucleotides. RefSeq lists it as uncharacterized. The transcript has 2 exons. Lineage: Eukaryota; Metazoa; Chordata; Actinopteri; Salmoniformes; Salmonidae. The record is from RefSeq and is a predicted model, not a curated record.